This 883-nucleotide ribosomal RNA is filed under the name Salmonella enterica subsp. enterica serovar Montevideo. RNAcentral's name for it is "bacterial LSU rRNA". It matches the Rfam family "Bacterial large subunit ribosomal RNA", at positions 1 to 816 of the family's 2925-position model. Lineage: Bacteria; Pseudomonadati; Pseudomonadota; Gammaproteobacteria; Enterobacterales; Enterobacteriaceae. The record is from RNAcentral.
GGGUUGUGAGGUUAAGCGACUAAGCGUACACGGUGGAUGCCCUGGCAGUCAGAGGCGAUGAAGGACGUGCUAAUCUGCGAUAAGCGCCGGUAAGGUGAUAUGAACCGUUAUAACCGGCGAUUUCCGAAUGGGGAAACCCAGUGUGAUUCGUCACACUAUCAUUAACUGAAUCCAUAGGUUAAUGAGGCGAACCGGGGGAACUGAAACAUCUAAGUACCCCGAGGAAAAGAAAUCAACCGAGAUUCCCCCAGUAGCGGCGAGCGAACGGGGAGGAGCCCAGAGCCUGAAUCAGCAUGUGUGUUAGUGGAAGCGUCUGGAAAGGCGCGCGAUACAGGGUGACAGCCCCGUACACAAAAGCGCACAUGCUGUGAGCUCGAUGAGUAGGGCGGGACACGUGGUAUCCUGUCUGAAUAUGGGGGGACCAUCCUCCAAGGCUAAAUACUCCUGACUGACCGAUAGUGAACCAGUACCGUGAGGGAAAGGCGAAAAGAACCCCGGCGAGGGGAGUGAAAAAGAACCUGAAACCGUGUACGUACAAGCAGUGGGAGCCCCACCACUAAGCCAGUGGUGAACUCCACAUACGCAUCCUUUGCUGAGGAUACGGUUAACGGAGCGAAAGCGACGUUCAACCGCAAAAGAAGCAGAGGGGGCUUAGUGGUGGGGUGACUGCGUACCUUUUGUAUAAUGGGUCAGCGACUUAUAUUCUGUAGCAAGGUUAACCGAAUAGGGGAGCCGGAGGGAAACCGAGUCUUAAUUGGGCGUUAAGUUGCAGGGUAUAGACCCGAAACCCGGUGAUCUAGCCAUGGGCAGGUUGAAGGUUGGGUAACACUAACUGGAGGACCGAACCGACUAAUGUUGAAAAAUUAGCGGAUGACCUGUGGCU